UACGUAGGGUGCAAGCGUUGUCCGGAAUUAUUGGGCGUAAAGAGCUCGUAGGUGGCCUGUCGCGUCGGCUGUGAAAACUCGGGGCUCAACUCCGAGCUUGCAGUCGAUACGGGCAGGCUAGAGUUCGGCAGGGGAGACUGGAAUUCCUGGUGUAGCGGUGAAAUGCGCAGAUAUCAGGAGGAACACCGGUGGCGAAGGCGGCUCACUGGCUCAUUUCUGACGCUCAGGCGCGACAGCGUGGGGAUCAAACAGG
RNAcentral lists this ribosomal RNA (253 nucleotides) under uncultured bacterium. RNAcentral's name for it is "partial 16S ribosomal RNA". It matches the Rfam family "Bacterial small subunit ribosomal RNA", at positions 524 to 776 of the family's 1533-position model. The record is from RNAcentral.